AUACGUAGGCAGCAAGCGUUGUUCGGAGUUACUGGGCGUAAAGAGUGCGUAGGUGGUUCUCUAAGUUCGGUGUGAAAUCUCCCGGCUCAACUGGGAGGGUGCGCCGAAAACUGGAGGGCUUGAGUAUGGGAGAGGAGAGCGGAAUUCCUGGUGUAGCGGUGAAAUGCGUAGAUAUCAGGAGGAACACCUGUGGUGCAGACGGCUCUCUGGACCAUUACUGACACUGAGGCACGAAAGCGUGGGGAGCAAACAGGAUUAGAUACCCUGGUAGUCCACGCCCUAAACGAUGCAUACUUGGUGUGGGUCAUUCAGUUGAUCCGUGCCGGAGCUAACGCGUUAAGUAUGCCGCCUGGGGAGUACGGUCGCAAGGCUGAA
This 375-nucleotide ribosomal RNA is filed under the name uncultured bacterium. Its description in RNAcentral is "bacterial SSU rRNA". It matches the Rfam family "Bacterial small subunit ribosomal RNA", at positions 523 to 898 of the family's 1533-position model. The record is from RNAcentral.